This 468-nucleotide ribosomal RNA is filed under the name uncultured bacterium. RNAcentral's name for it is "partial 16S ribosomal RNA". It matches the Rfam family "Bacterial small subunit ribosomal RNA", at positions 28 to 507 of the family's 1533-position model. The record is from RNAcentral.
GAUGAACGCUGACAGAAUGCUUAACACAUGCAAGUCUACUUGAAUUUGGGUUUUUUAACUUAGAUUUGGGUGGCGGACGGGUGAGUAACGCGUAAAGAACUUGCCUCACAGCUAGGGACAACAUUUGGAAACGAAUGCUAAUACCUGAUAUUAUGAGGAUAAGGCAUCUUAGAAUUAUGAAAGCUAUAUGCGCUGUGAGAGAGCUUUGCGUCCCACUAGCUAGUUGGAGAGGUAACGGCUCACCAAGGCGAUGAUGGGUAGCCGGCCUGAGAGGGUGAACGGCCACAAGGGGACUGAGACACGGCCCUUACUCAUACGGGAGGCAGCAGUGGGGAACAUUGGCCAAUGGACCAAGAGUGUGAUCCAGCAAUUCUGUGUGCAAGAUGACGUUUUUCGGAAUGUAAAGCGCUUUCAGUUGGGAAGAAAAAAAUGACGGUACCAACAGAAGAAGUGACGGCUAAAUACGUG